Engraulis encrasicolus (European anchovy) is the source of this 2398-nucleotide long non-coding RNA. RefSeq lists it as uncharacterized. The transcript is spliced from 2 exons. Lineage: Eukaryota; Metazoa; Chordata; Actinopteri; Clupeiformes; Engraulidae. The record is from RefSeq and is a predicted model, not a curated record.
UGUGAAUAUGGAAUCUUCUUAACUUUUGUGUCAGACGCAACGUCAUCUACUGGCAGAAGGACUGCAACAAAGAGCACCUGUGCAAGUACGCAUGGAUGAUGGUGCGGCCCACCGACCUCAUCAAAGUGCUGAAGGUCAAGGGGGACUGCAGCAAGAACGAGCUGUGAUGGCAUUACCUUAACUUACCUUACCUUACCUUACCUUACCUUACCUUACCUUAACGAACCUUAACAAACCUUGCCAUACCAUACCAUACCAUACCAUACCAUACCAUACCAUACCAUACCAUACCUUACUUAAAUUACCUUACCUUACCUUACCUUACCUUACCUUGUCUUAAGUCAAAAGUUAAGAAGAUUCCAUAUUCACAAACAGGCUUCUUAAGUUGUUUCUUAACUUUCUUCCUAAGAUUUUCCCUAUUUAGCACUAGGUGAGCAGGUAGGGCAGGUAAGGUAAGGUAAGGUAUAGUAUGGUAUGGUAUGCUAUUUUGUUCUUAAGAUUCUUUGUGAAUCCGGCCCCAGGUGAGACAGGGCAAGAAGAUAGGAGCAGAGAAGUGCAGAUUAGAUUAGAGUGCGAAGAGAAGAGAAGAGAAGAGAGGAGAAGAGAAGAGAAGAGAAGAGAAGAGAAGAGAAGAGAAGAGAAGAGAAGAGAAGAGAAGAGAAGAGAAGAGAAGAGAAGAGAAGAGAAGAAAAGAGGAGAGGAGAGGAGAGAAGAGAAGAGAGAAACACUGUUGAAUCGGGGUCUGUUCCCUUCUCUUUUCUUCUCUUUUCUUCUCUUCCUUUGUCACAUGGACCUAGAAUUCACUUGGUGUUCAUCUUGCCAUCACUCCAUAGUCAAACUUGGUGGGAAGUCUAAAAAAAAAAACCUGACAUUCUGUCACUGUGUGUGUGUGUGUGUGUGUGAGAGAGUGUGUGUGUGUGUGUGUGUGUGUGUGUGUGUGUGUGUGUGUGUGUGUGUGUGUGUGUGUGUGUGUGUGUGUGCGCUUGUGUGUGUGUGUGUGUGUGUGUGUGUGUGUGUGUGUGUGUGUGUGUGUGUGUGUGUGUGUGUGUGUGUGUGUGUGUGUGUGUGUGUGUGUGUGUGUGUGUGCUAAUGGUGCCAAGAUAUUCACCAAAUGUAAACCUGACUUUUUUACCAGCUGUAGUAAUCAGAUAAAUUUUGAUAGGGUUUACCCUAUGCCCACAUUGAGUUUGAGAUGGUCAAAGCAAUAUGACCACCAUGAUAAUUUGGUAAUUACCAGUCUUACUACCUACUUACCCCUGGAUGGGGACCCAGACAAGAUAGGAAUGAGAGAUGAGAUGAGAUGAGAUCAGACACACGUGCGUGAUUCAAUUAGGUUUAAAGAGCGGGAGCAGGACAGGGUUAGUGGUGUGUGUGUGUGUGUGUGUGUGUGUGUGUGUGUGUGUGUGUGUGUGUGUGUGUGUGUGUGUGUGUGUGUGUGUGUGUGUGUGUGUGUGUGUGUGUGUGUGUGUGUGUGUGUGUGUGUGUGUGUGUGUGUCUUUGAGUGGGUGAGUGUGUGUAGGGGCUCUGAACUUGGCUUGAUCAAUAGUGUGGAGAGGGAAUGAACACUGAUGGCCCAUCUAAAAGCUCCUCACACACACACACACACACACACACACACACACACACACACACACACACACACACACACACACACACACACACACACACACACACACACACACACACACACACACACACACACACACACACACACACAAAUCAUUAUCAGGGUUAAUUAGUUUGGGUUGACUCCUCACACAUCAUGUUGAUGAGAUCCUUCAUUAGGCAAGCUUUAAGGAGUAGGGGAAAACAAACAAGUAAAAAUAAAUUAUAUAUAUAUAUGUGUGUGUGGGGGGGCUGCACUAGAUUAUUUACACACUGGACACGUGGUAGUUGCAAUAUACAGAUUUAUGUUUUUAUAAAAAAAAUUAAAAUGCACAGAAAUAUACAUUGAACACUAAAUAAAGAGGGACGAUACACACUAAUUCUACCCAACAUAUGGAAAUAGUCAGCAGAUCCGCUCCUGAAUGGAUAAACUGAAUGCUUUUCACACACACACAUACUGUAGUGACAACUAAAUCUCACAGAUACGAUAGCCAUGGUUUGUGCAUGUAUGCAAUGGUCCAUAGGCAUAAUACUGUCAAUAUUAGCAACAAAGAACAUCCAAUCAAAACAAGCAAUCAUGACAGGGCCCUUUUUUCUGUACUGAUUUGGAAACAAUACCUGUUUGUACUGUACUGUUUAUGAAUUGAUGUACACAUUUGAUAUUGUAAUACUGUUUUCUUCACAAAACAUGGGCAUUGUAGUGAUGCAAUCAAAAUAUAAAAUCUACUGUUUUUGAUCAAGGAUGGUAUCUGAAUGCUUCAUUUGUAAAAUAAAUUAAUAAAAAAGCAUCAGA